Molecule: ribosomal RNA, 261 nt
Filed under: uncultured Loktanella sp.
Lineage: Bacteria; Pseudomonadati; Pseudomonadota; Alphaproteobacteria; Rhodobacterales; Roseobacteraceae
Description: partial 16S ribosomal RNA
Rfam family: Bacterial small subunit ribosomal RNA
Source: RNAcentral
CAUGCAAGUCGAGCGCACUCUUCGGAGUGAGCGGCGGACGGGUUUGUAACGCGUGGUAACAUACCCUUCACUACGGAAUAGCCUCGGGAAACGGAGAGUAAUACCAUAUACUCUCUUCGGGGGAAAGAUUUAUCGGAGAGGGAUUGGCCCGCGUUAGAUUAGAUUGUUGGUGGGGUAAUGGCCUACCAAGUCUACGAUCUAUAGCUGGUUUGAGAGGAUGAUCAGCAACACUGGGACUGAGACACGGCCCACACUCCUGCG